RNAcentral lists this ribosomal RNA (253 nucleotides) under uncultured bacterium. Its description in RNAcentral is "partial 16S ribosomal RNA". It matches the Rfam family "Bacterial small subunit ribosomal RNA", at positions 524 to 776 of the family's 1533-position model. The record is from RNAcentral.
GACAUAGGUCGCAAACGUUAUCCGGAAUUAUUGGGCGUAAAGAGCUCGUAGGCGGUCUGUCGCGUCGGAUGUGAAAAUCCAGGGCUCAACCCUGGACCUGCAUUCGAUACGGGCAGACUAGAGUUCGGUAGGGGAGACUGGAAUUCCUGGUGUAGCGGUGAAAUGCGCAGAUAUCAGGAGGAACACCGGUGGCGAAGGCGGGUCUCUGGGCCGAAACUGACGCUGAGGAGCGAAAGCGUGGGGAGCAAACAGG